AACCCUCGCUGUGUGUUACAAGUGUCACACGGGAACUGCCGGUCAUAAACCGGAGGAAGGUGGGGAUGACGUCAAGUCAGCAUGGCCUUUAUAUCCUGGGCUACACACACGCUACAAUGGGAAGGGACAAUAGGUUGCGAAGCCGCGAGGUGGAGCCAAUCCAGCAAAACUUCCCUCAGUUCAGAUUGCAGGCUGCAACUCGUCUGCAUGAAGUUGGAGUUGCUAGUAAACGCAGGUCAGCCAUACUGCGUUGAAUACGUUCCCGGGGCCUU
This 272-nucleotide ribosomal RNA is filed under the name uncultured Anaerolineaceae bacterium. Its description in RNAcentral is "partial 16S ribosomal RNA". It matches the Rfam family "Bacterial small subunit ribosomal RNA", at positions 1100 to 1382 of the family's 1533-position model. Lineage: Bacteria; Bacillati; Chloroflexota; Anaerolineae; Anaerolineales; Anaerolineaceae. The record is from RNAcentral.